UCUUCAGGGAGGCCACAUGGAUCAUGGAGCCUCAGAAUGCUCCCUCUAGGAGGAUGGGGGAAGACUGUGUCUACCAGCUCCCCUCACCCACCACCACCUCCUGUGCCUGCCCCCCCAUCCUCCCCCACCAUACACAAACUUCUGGAGUGUGAACAUGGGUGGUGAGAGGUGUCCUAGGCUUCAGCACCAACAGAGCCAUACCAAGGCAGGAGUCACACACAGUACAAGUUUGAAGUUUGAGGAGAACACUGGUAGGUAUAUUGUAUCAGUUGGGUCUAUGAAGAAAAUAAUGCCACCGCCUGCAGUUACACUUCACAGGAGGACCUCACAGACUCCUUACAAGUUGCUUGAGAACUUCCUGUUCAGAGGCCUGACCUCAGCUUUCUGGAGCUUUUCAAGUUGGCUACUAUGAGAAGAAAAGAAAUCUGCAGAUCCAGGAGAAAAAGAGUCACAGAU
Long non-coding RNA from Talpa occidentalis (Iberian mole), 456 nucleotides. RefSeq lists it as uncharacterized. NCBI's taxonomy places the organism in Eukaryota, Metazoa, Chordata, Mammalia, Eulipotyphla, Talpidae. The transcript is spliced from 3 exons. The record is from RefSeq and is a predicted model, not a curated record.